GUUACUGCCACUUGAAUAUCUUUAAAGUCCUAGAAUUGCUGUCUGCCUCCCAUUUUCCUGGCCCUCGUUCUGGGCCCUCAACUCUGGCCACUGCUGCACUAAACAUUUCUGGGGCUGGUGUAACCUCCCUGCAUCCCAUGUGCCACAUGCUUCCUCACCUGGGGCCCAUCCAACUUGCAGGAUGACGGUCUCGCAGUGCGUGCAGCUGGGAAGCUUAGCAGGGUUAACCCUCCACCAGAAAAGGAGCCAGUGGGAAAUGGGUCCUCGUCCUGAGCGCACCAUGAAAGCACGCACGCAAGUUGCGUCUUUCCGCAGCGUCAGCUCUGCGCAGCCACAAAGCAAAGUUAACGUAAUAGCACCACAAAGCAGUUUCCGGAUUCUGAACCCAGUGACGCUUCGCCACGUGUUUAACGAGUUACAGAUCACACGGAGCAAAGCACACGUCGCGCCCAAACGGGGUAGAACAGGGGUCAGGAAGUUAAUGAACCAAAUGUGAAGUCCAUUUGUGGACGCUCAGUCGAGUGGAGGCUCCGUCGUCCGGUCCUGGUCGGCUCUCGGCACUUACCUCUGGUUAUGUGCGAGCAGUGGAGGAUCUCUGUUCCGUUCAGAGAUCAAUCUGCAGAACCUUUGGUGGCAGCUGCCUUUUUGAAAUGGUCGUACACGGAGGAGCCAGUGUCUGGAGAAUCUGACCGUUUGCUGCAAAAAGCCUCCCCUUUUAGAGGGAUUUAAUCCGUCUUGGGCCGUUACAGACCUCCCCUGCUCUGCUGGUUAUCAGUGCUGUGUUACCCACCACCACUGGCCUCAGCAAUAUCGGGUCUUGGCUGCAACGCCCUUAGCUGCUUGAGUCACCGCUUGACGUAGGCCAGUGCUUGACAUGAGUGACUCCAUCUUGUUCUCUGUAGUUUUCUUCUUUUCCUUGGGAGACAGUAUAGAAGCCCAUUCUCCAUGUCUCUUCAGAGGGGCCUGUUAGAACUAAGCUCCUGCUGUCCCCAACGCUCCCAUGCAUCGGCUUUGGCCCUUCUCCAUCUUAUUCUUGUUUGUCUCCCCCCCCCUGCUUCCUAAACUAGCUGACCGGCUCCUUGCACUUCCUACCUCCUCAAGGGCUCCAUGCGCACAAACGUUUUUCUGAGGCUGCUUUCUGGGGCCCAAGUAAAUCUCAAACAAUUGAGUAUCAGAAGAUGCGAUAGACUGUCCGCUCACGGAUCAGAUGGUGAUAAACAGCCUUUGAUGGCGAUGAUAUAAUGGAGGCACAGAGAAACUAAGAAAUUUGGCCGAGUUCACACAGCUAAUGGUUGAUAGAGUCAGGAUAAAUCGACUUGUCUGCUUAGAAGAAGAAUGUGACCCUCGCUCAGACUUGCUCAGCAACUGACGUUCAUCCGAACUCCAGGCAACUGCACAAGCUAUAUAUACUUCUCAUUCGAAAUCAGAGAUCAAAUGAAAGGAAGCAGGUGAAACCCCAGAGAACGUGGCAAGAGAGCGGCAGAAGCACACCUGUUGGGCACAAGCGCCGGGUCGGGACACCCGAUCAGCGACUGCCGGCAAGAGCACGUGCCCGGGGGGACCUGAGCACGACCACAGCCACAGAGAAGGCAGGAGCCAAGCAUUUGUUCCCAUCUUGGCAAAAACUAGGAGUUAAAACGAAAGGGGAUUAGUGACAUUGCAUGGAACAAGCCGAAAGUAUAGAGCAAACGCACAUCAUCUUAGAGAAUUUAGCCUUGUCCCCCGCAUGUCAUUUCUGAAUAGCUGGGAUCUCUGGAUAUCGCUUUCGACAGCACCUGCAGACUGUCACCCAUUCCUUGUCGUGAGCCCACGUGCAAGGAGGGAAAGCAAUUCUUACCUGAGGUUUGAGAAUAGACCUGGUGAUUUUAGGGGCAGUAUAAAAUUCAUAUCAUAAAAGCAAAAGACGGAAAAAAAUGAGGUUCUUCCCCAGCAGCAGUGUGUCAAAUCGGAGACAUCUCUGUUUACUUGAUUUCUUACUCAUCAGAAAUGAGGGCACAAUGUGAAAACCUCCCUUACGUUGAUAAUGUGAGUCUUCAGCCAUUUCUUUCCUAAGAUUUUGGA
Felis catus (domestic cat) is the source of this 2061-nucleotide long non-coding RNA. RefSeq lists it as uncharacterized. The transcript has 3 exons. Lineage: Eukaryota; Metazoa; Chordata; Mammalia; Carnivora; Felidae. The record is from RefSeq and is a predicted model, not a curated record.